UUCUUUGUUUUAUUUCUGUGUCACUGACUUUUUUCAUUUUUAUGUGUGGAUUUGUUAGGCGCAUCAACACAUGAUAUAGACAUCGUGUCCAAAAGAAGAGCGAGACGUAAUCCUGAGGCUGAAGCUACCGAGUUUAUUUGAUCUGGAUGUGACAAGUCUUGUUUUAAGGCCCAGUGGAUCAAUGAUUGGAAAGACACCAACUGUUGAUGUUCUAUCUCAACAUUCUCCAGACUCAUGUGACCGAUAAACCGACUUCAUCCCUCCAACAGACACCAACUGUUGGGGUUCUAUCUCAACAUUCUCCAGAUUCAGAUGUGAGCGAUAAACCGACUUCAUCCCUCCAACAGACACCAACUGUUGGGGUUCUAUCUCAACAUUCUCCAGAUUCAGAUGUGAGCGAUAAAC
Molecule: long non-coding RNA, 405 nt
Organism: Nerophis ophidion (straightnose pipefish)
Lineage: Eukaryota; Metazoa; Chordata; Actinopteri; Syngnathiformes; Syngnathidae
Exons: 4
Source: RefSeq, a predicted model, not a curated record